RNAcentral lists this ribosomal RNA (575 nucleotides) under Gastrotheca plumbea (silver marsupial frog). RNAcentral describes it as "partial 16S ribosomal RNA". It matches the Rfam family "Bacterial large subunit ribosomal RNA", at positions 1810 to 2598 of the family's 2925-position model. The record is from RNAcentral. Lineage: Eukaryota; Metazoa; Chordata; Amphibia; Anura; Hemiphractidae.
AAAACAUCGCCUCUUGAAAAACAUGAGAGGUCCAGCCUGCCCAGUGACUCUGUUCAACGGCCGCGGUAUCCUAACCGUGCGAAGGUAGCGUAAUCACUUGUCCUUUAAAUCAGGACUAGUAUGAAUGGCACCACGAGGGUUAUACUGUCUCCUUUCUCUAAUCAGUGAAACUAAUCUCCCCGUGAAGAAGCGAGGAUAUUUAUAUAAGACGAGAAGACCCUAUGGAGCUUUAAACAAAACAACACUUGCUGCUUUUAUUCACCAGUUUCAGAAAAUUAACUCUUAUUUUAGCAUUAUGCUUGUUAGUUUUAGGUUGGGGUGACCGCGGAGCAAAAAAUAACCUCCACAUUGAAAGGGACUUCCCCUAAGCAAAAAGUCACAACUUUAUGCAUCAAUAAAUUGACAUUAAUUGACCCAAUAUUUUGAUCAACGAAACAAGUUACCCUAGGGAUAACAGCGCAAUCCACUUUGAGAGUCCAUAUCGACAAGUGGGUUUACGACCUCGAUGUUGGAUCAGGGUACCCCAGUGGUGCAGCCGCUACUAAAGGUUCGUUUGUUCAACGAUUAAAACCCUA